GAUAAAUUUUAUCAUUUGAGUAAUUUAUUUUGAAUUUAUUUUACAUGCAAAUUUUAGUGUUAGUUUUUAAUUAUUUUAAUAAUAAUUUAAUAUUUAUGCAGUAAAUAGAUUUAAAUAUUUAAGAAAUUAAGAUUUAGUAAUAUUUAAAUUAAUAACAAAUUUUGUGCCAGCAGUUGCGGUUAUACAAAAGUUAAAUUGAAUUUUUUCAGUAUAUAAUAAAUAAAAUAAAUAUUAAAUUAAAUAUUAAAUUAUUAAGUGAAAUUUUAAUUUAAUGAAAUUUUAUAAAGAAAUUAUGAUUUAAUAAAUUUAUAAAUAAACUAGGAUUAGAUACCCUAUUAUAUAAUUUUAAAUAAUAAAUACUAAAAUAGUAUGUAAUUAUUUAUUGAAACUUAAAUAAAUUGGCGGUAUUUUAGUUCAUUUAGAGGAAUCUGUUUAAUAAUUGAUAAUCCACGAAUAAAUUUACUUAAUUAAUUAAUUUUGUAUAUCGUUGUUAAAAAAAUAUUUUUUAAUAAAAUUAAUAUUUAAGAAUUAAUUAGAUAAUUUAAAUCAGAUCAAGAUGCAGAUUAUAAUUAAGAAUAUAAUGGAUUACAAUAAAUUUAUUUAAAUGAAUGUUAUUAUGAAAAAAUAAUUGAAAGUGGAUUUAAAUGUAAUUUUAUUUAAUUUAUUAAAAUGAUUAAAAAUUAAAAUAUGUACAUAUUGCCCGUCACUUUCAUUUAAAAAUUGAAAUAAGUCGUAACAAAGUAGAGGUACUGGAAAGUGUUUCUAGAAUGAA
Molecule: ribosomal RNA, 772 nt
Filed under: Abisara chela
Lineage: Eukaryota; Metazoa; Arthropoda; Insecta; Lepidoptera; Riodinidae
Description: l2S ribosomal RNA
Source: RNAcentral